GAGAGCUAGCAAUCCCAUAAACCGUGGCUCAGUUCAGAUCGUAGGCUGCAACUCGCCUACGUGAAGUAGGAAUCGCUAGUAAUCGCAGGUCAGCAUACUGCGGUGAAUACGUUCCCGGGCCUUGUACACACCGCCCGUCACACCAUGGAAGUUGGCCAUGCCCGAAGUCGUUACUCCAACCCUUGUGGAGGAGGACGCCGAAGGUGGGGCUAAUGACUGGGGUGAAGUCGUAACAAGGUAGCCGUACCGGAAGGUGCGGCUGGAUCACCUCCUAA
RNAcentral lists this ribosomal RNA (275 nucleotides) under uncultured Prochlorococcus sp. Its description in RNAcentral is "partial 16S ribosomal RNA". It matches the Rfam family "Bacterial small subunit ribosomal RNA", at positions 1259 to 1533 of the family's 1533-position model. Lineage: Bacteria; Bacillati; Cyanobacteriota; Cyanophyceae; Synechococcales; Prochlorococcaceae. The record is from RNAcentral.